RNAcentral lists this ribosomal RNA (552 nucleotides) under Bifidobacterium longum subsp. infantis. RNAcentral describes it as "bacterial SSU rRNA". It matches the Rfam family "Bacterial small subunit ribosomal RNA", at positions 146 to 711 of the family's 1533-position model. Lineage: Bacteria; Bacillati; Actinomycetota; Actinomycetes; Bifidobacteriales; Bifidobacteriaceae. The record is from RNAcentral. RNAcentral also lists the same sequence under 1 other name.
UCUCCUGGAAACGGGUGGUAAUGCCGGAUGCUCCAGUUGAUCGCAUGGUCUUCUGGGAAAGCUUUCGCGGUAUGGGAUGGGGUCGCGUCCUAUCAGCUUGACGGCGGGGUAACGGCCCACCGUGGCUUCGACGGGUAGCCGGCCUGAGAGGGCGACCGGCCACAUUGGGACUGAGAUACGGCCCAGACUCCUACGGGAGGCAGCAGUGGGGAAUAUUGCACAAUGGGCGCAAGCCUGAUGCAGCGACGCCGCGUGAGGGAUGGAGGCCUUCGGGUUGUAAACCUCUUUUAUCGGGGAGCAAGCGAGAGUGAGUUUACCCGUUGAAUAAGCACCGGCUAACUACGUGCCAGCAGCCGCGGUAAUACGUAGGGUGCAAGCGUUAUCCGGAAUUAUUGGGCGUAAAGGGCUCGUAGGCGGUUCGUCGCGUCCGGUGUGAAAGUCCAUCGCUUAACGGUGGAUCCGCGCCGGGUACGGGCGGGCUUGAGUGCGGUAGGGGAGACUGGAAUUCCCGGUGUAACGGUGGAAUGUGUAGAUAUCGGAAAAAAAACACCA